Molecule: ribosomal RNA, 511 nt
Filed under: uncultured bacterium
Lineage: Bacteria
Description: bacterial SSU rRNA
Rfam family: Bacterial small subunit ribosomal RNA
Source: RNAcentral
AGCGAACGUUAGCGGCGGGCCUAACACAUGCAAGUCGAACGCGAAAGGUCUUCGGACUGAGUAGAGUGGCGCACGGGUGAGUAACACGUAGGUAAUCUACCCUUUGGCGGGGGAUAACGUUCCGAAAGGAGCGCUAAUACCGCAUAAGACCACGGAGUCUCCGGACGCUGUGGGAAAAGGUGGCCUCUUCUUGAAAGCUACCACCGAAGGAUGAGCCUGCGUCCCAUCAGCUAGUUGGUAAGGUAAUGGCUUACCAAGGCGAAGACGGGUAGCUGGUUUGAGAGAAUGAUCAGCCACACUGGCACUGGAACACGGGCCAGACUCCUACGGGAGGCAGCAGUGAGGAAUAUUGGGCAAUGGGCGAAAGCCUGACCCAGCCACGCCGCGUGAGUGAUGAAGGCCCUCGGGUCGUAAAGCUCUGUGGAGAGGGACGAAAACCCUGGUUUCAAAUAGGCUCCAGGCUUGACGGUACCUCUUUAGCAAGCACCGGCUAACUCUGUGCCAGCAGCCG